Molecule: ribosomal RNA, 451 nt
Filed under: uncultured bacterium
Lineage: Bacteria
Description: bacterial SSU rRNA
Rfam family: Bacterial small subunit ribosomal RNA
Source: RNAcentral
UACCAGACUCCUACGGGAGGCAGCAGUGGGGAAUAUUGGGCAAUGGGCGCAAGCCUGACCCAGCAACGCCGCGUGAAGGAAGAAGGCUUUCGGGUUGUAAACUUCUUUUAAGAGGGAAGAGUAGAAGACGGUACCUCUUGAAUAAGCCACGGCUAACUACGUGCCAGCAGCCGCGGUAAUACGUAGGUGGCAAGCGUUGUCCGGAUUUACUGGGUGUAAAGGGCGUGUAGCCGGGCCGGCAAGUCAGAUGUGAAAACCAUGGGCUCAACCUGUGGCCUGCAUUUGAAACUGUUUUUCUUGAGUACUGGAGAGGCAGACGGAAUUCCUAGUGUAGCGGUGAAAUGCGUAGAUAUUAGGAGGAACACCAGUGGCGAAGGCGGUCUGCUGGACAGCAACUGACGCUGAGGCGCGAAAGCGUGGGGAGCAAACAGGAUUAGAUACCCCCGUACGG